UGAGGAAUUUUCUGCAAUGGGCGAAAGCCUGACAGAGCAAUACCGCGUGAGGGAAGAAGGCUUACUGAGUUGUAAACCUCGGUGCCUUAAGGAAGAAGAUCUGACGGUACUUAAGGUGGAAAGCAUCGGCUAACCCCGUGCCAGCAGCCGCGGUAAGACGGGGGAUGCAAGUGUCAUCCGGAAUCACUGGGCGUAAAGCGUCUGCAGGUGGUUUCCUAAGUCCACUGUUAAACCUUGAGGCUCAACCUCAAAUCUGCAGUGGAAACUAGGGAACUUGAGGAUAGUAGGGGUAGAGGGAAUUUCCAGUGGAGCGGUGAAAUGCGUAGACAUUGGAAAGAACACCGAUGGCGAAGGCACUCUACUGGGCUAUGACUGACACUCAGGG
This 385-nucleotide ribosomal RNA is filed under the name uncultured bacterium. Its description in RNAcentral is "bacterial SSU rRNA". It matches the Rfam family "Bacterial small subunit ribosomal RNA", at positions 355 to 752 of the family's 1533-position model. The record is from RNAcentral.